CAGUCGCCGCGGUAAUACGAAGGGUGCAAGCGUUACUCGGAAUUACUGGGCGUAAAGCGUGCGCAGGCGGUUAUAUAAGACAGAUGUGAAAUCCCCGGGCUCAACCUGGGAACUGCAUUUGUGACUGUAUAGCUAGAGUACGGCAGAGGGGGAUGGAAUUCCGCGUGUAGCAGUGAAAUGCGUAGAUAUGCGGAGGAACACCGAUGGCGAAGGCAAUCCCCUGGGCCUGUACUGACGCUCAUGCACGAAAGCGUGGGGAGCAAACAGGAUUAGAUACCCCUGUAGUCCCUGUCUCUUAUAC
This 301-nucleotide ribosomal RNA is filed under the name uncultured bacterium. RNAcentral's name for it is "partial 16S ribosomal RNA". It matches the Rfam family "Bacterial small subunit ribosomal RNA", at positions 509 to 807 of the family's 1533-position model. The record is from RNAcentral.